GCCUUUCCUCCAUUGUGCAGCAGCACUCAAAGCUGGACCUACUCACUGAUCUGGAAAAGGAAAAGGCUGACCUUCAAAAUGAAGCUAGUCAUGAGCCUAUUCUUCAUCUCCUUUAUCCUGUGUGUCAGUUGUCAUGAAAACGAGGAACAGUUAAAUGAUAAACCAUAUAUAUUCUAUGACAUUUUGGGGGGAAUUGAUUACUGUGAACUACACAUGAGAUAUUGUGAAAAAUAUGUGGAAGAUCGAGCAAAUGAUGAAGGAUAUUCUAAUGAUGAUCCUGAGACAUCUACUUUUCGGAAGAAAAUGCUGGGGUUCUUUGAAGCAUAUUUUGUUGGGAAUGACAAAACUCGUUAGCAAAGCUGAUGGGUAUAUGGCAGCUAAAGUUCCUCAUGUAACUCACUCUUCACCCUGAGGCCUCAGAAUUCCUCCUUUCCCCCCUCCCUGCUCUACUAGAUGUACCUGCGAAAUCACUGAUGUAUGCAUGUCUUUGAGAAUCUAGUUUACGAUAUUAUAUAUUGAUUUCUUACCUUACAGAAACCAUAGUGUGUUUUAGUGAUGAAUUAAACAGACUACAUUGUGUCACUUUUCCCAUCAUUUCUUUUCAUUUUGUAUGUGGAAAUAUGGGCAAAAACCCCAGCUUGUUUUUACUCCUUCUAUAAAAGAGCAGCUAUUUCCCAAUAAACCUUUGCCUUGAAAGUCA
RNAcentral lists this long non-coding RNA (700 nucleotides) under Monodelphis domestica (gray short-tailed opossum). Its description in RNAcentral is "lncRNA (ENSMODG00000043003.1)". Lineage: Eukaryota; Metazoa; Chordata; Mammalia; Didelphimorphia; Didelphidae. The record is from RNAcentral.